This is a non-coding RNA of Equus caballus (horse), 1308 nucleotides long. Lineage: Eukaryota; Metazoa; Chordata; Mammalia; Perissodactyla; Equidae. The record is from RefSeq and is a predicted model, not a curated record.
GGCCACAGGGCUGGCCCCUCUUAGCACAAUUUUGAUAGAUUGUGUGUGUGCUUUUCUUUUAAAAAAAAUCUCCCAUUAUAUUGUCUAAACAGAGACUGCUUUUUCUCUAAGAUUGAGGAAAGAAAGAAAGAUGGAGUUGCAAAAGAAAAUAUUUCCAUUUCCAACACAUGUGUAUAUGGAACAGGUGAGGCACUGAAAAUGCGUGCAUCAAAGAGGCAAUACUCCUCUUUCAAAUUGUGUGAUUUUCCAAAAUACGGUACAGGCUUGGGGGAAAAUGCUAGUUCAAUUCCUAGCUCUGUUGCUUACUUAGUGUGAGUUUGGGGUCACAUUCUCAACCACUCAGGCUCAGUUUCCUCGUAUGGACAUUGGAAUAUUAACACACAGAAGAAAGAGAUGAAAUAAGAAUUGGCAUAAGCUCUCCACAAGGCAGGCUGCCUCUUGUAGAGACAGCUCGGGCAGCACGAGGCAGUCUGGAAACAUGCGUAGAAAUCCAUCUUCUACUAUUAAAUGUAUAUGAGCCACUUUAUAAAUCUAAGAAUUUCUAUUUUAUGUCUUAAUAAUAUGAAUACUGGUUCCACAGUAUUAUGCAGACAGUUUGUAUAAGGCACAAUUUAAAUUUCAUACAUGUGACAUUUUAUUUACUGUAAAAAACAGAACAUUUUUAAUGUAUUCCUGUUUUCUCCCUUUAUUCAGCAUGUAGUCAUUUUUUCCCCAGUUACAGGAAGGUCCCACUCUGCCUAAAGCAUUCUGUGAGGCAUUAGCCCAGCUCACCACGUGCACGGCAAACACAUGCAAGGAAAGCCAUUUUUACUGAGCAGAUCUGGUCCUGAGAAAGACAAACCCUUUUGGUUCUGUUUCAAGGCAGUUUAACCACCACGACGUAACAGCUGGAACUCCACUUUAGCCAUCUCUCACACAAGUCUUUCUGAUCGGUUAUGGAUUUUUCUCGUCAACAGCACAAACGCAGAAGGCUGACGACUGCUGGUUUCUGGCUGUCUGCUCACAAAGGCAGUUUGAUGGUGCGCUGAGCACUGGUAGAUUCCUUGUAUAUCUCCACAGCACACAUCGUAUCAGGAGAUACAUUCAGCCUGCUCUGUGCCCCCACUGCAAAAAAUUAAACUGAAUAAUCGAACAAACCACACCUUAAAUAAGAAAGAGAUUCUUUUCUAAGAUUGACAAAUUAUACUGAAAAUGUAUCAACUUUUCUCAACAAAAACUUUUUGGAAGGAUCAUUUCAAAUAUUUGUAUCCUCUUUGUUCUAGAUAUAUGUGGGGAAUUUUAACAUUGUGUUUCAGAGACUAUUGUGAU